RNAcentral lists this long non-coding RNA (1020 nucleotides) under Macaca mulatta (Rhesus monkey). RNAcentral describes it as "lncRNA (ENSMMUG00000057022.1)". The record is from RNAcentral. Lineage: Eukaryota; Metazoa; Chordata; Mammalia; Primates; Cercopithecidae.
CUGGCACAGGGCAAACUGUAGAUGGCUGCUUUUAUUAGUAAUAGAUCCUGUGACUGUAGGCUUCCCAUGAAAGCAUACCAACUCACUUCAGAUAGUUGGAAGCAAGGAAUAGAAUAGAUGGUCACUUUGGACUAUUUAAUCAUUUUAGGGAGAUUUGGAAAUUGUCAUUCUUAGAUGUCAGUUUUAAUUACUACCUCAGUUUGAUGCUGGAACAUAGUGCCCUUGCUUGGUGACAUUAAAAGGGAUCCACAUGAAACAUUGCUACUUCUAUUUUUUUUUUUUUUUUUUCUGUCCUGAUUGCUUUCUCUCCUGAACUCUGGUUUCAAACAUCACAUCAGCAUUUUCUCUGCUGACAGCAUUGCAAGUUCAGGGAUACUGCUCCUUGGGGCAUCACUGACUGCUUCUGGUAAACUGUGCUCAGUGUGUUUGCUUUAGUUCUGCAAAGAAGCCAGGAAGGAAUUGGGUUUGAGGUCCUGGAGAGCUUCACAGACAGAGGACAGUUGACGUGGCUCUUUUUCUCUUUACUAUAUCAUAAAUCUUGGCAAGAAUGCUCAAUGGAAAGGAACAGUCCAUGGAAGGAACCUUGGCUCAGAGACCCUAGGGAAGAUGAAACCAGCUGACAGAAGCCUGUCCUGCAUCUCCAGGAAAAUUUAGCUCACUCUUCUAAAGCUUGAAGAGGUUAGAAGAAAAUACUUUGUAAGUUAAGAGAACCCUUUAUUUUUGGGGUAAAUUUUCUCUAUAAAAACAAGACAUUUUAAAAGCUGGAAGGGUCAGAGUAAGAAAAACUACAGUGAUCCCUAUAUCUAGACAGUCACAAAGAAUCUAUGUACUUAAUUAGCCGGUGUGCUGGGGCUAGAGCAAGGUAGCUUAGAAAGGCAAUCCCUGAAGGUCAAAUUUGGCCAGGGGUGAUAUUGAAUUAUAGCCACUGUUUGCUAUUUUACUGGGAAUCAGGAAAACUAAAAUUAUGGCUCUUCUUUUAUUAGGGGCUGAAUGCUUAUGUCCCUUCAAAUUCAUCUGUUG